CCGGCACAGAAAUGGCAGGUGGUCGGAGAAGAGCGCACCACCAUCCCAAGGGUCCCAAAUCGAUGGCCGGCGACGACCACCGGCAUCCGAAAACCAAAAAAAAUCGAAACCUCUCUCAUGACAAAAUCUGAUGACUCUGAUCACCGACGAGCGUGCACACCGGCACGGGAAGGAAGGGAGAGAAAAGAGGAAGAGAACCACA
This 202-nucleotide long non-coding RNA is filed under the name Elaeis guineensis (African oil palm). Its description in RNAcentral is "long non-coding RNA (EGUI_LNC069842)". Lineage: Eukaryota; Viridiplantae; Streptophyta; Magnoliopsida; Arecales; Arecaceae. The record is from RNAcentral.